Long non-coding RNA from Tyto alba (common barn owl), 4143 nucleotides. RefSeq lists it as uncharacterized. The transcript is spliced from 2 exons. The record is from RefSeq and is a predicted model, not a curated record. Lineage: Eukaryota; Metazoa; Chordata; Aves; Strigiformes; Tytonidae.
GCGAAGGGCGCUGGGAGGGACCGUCGGCAAACGCGCGGCGGUCAGGGCGUCACGGUCCCGCGUGAGAGGCCGAGGCUGUGUUUGCAGCUAGAACUGCUCGGGAAAUUUGACGAAGUGGUGGUUUAAUAAAACCAAAGCAUUUCCUGAAAGUGGUGCCCAGCUCCAGCAAAGGGGGACAUUGAGAAAAGUUUGACAGGGUGGAAAAAAAGAGAAACAUCUUCCCGAGGGGCUGGUAGUUAUGUCCAGGCACCUCACUGGCACAAGAGAGACCCUGUUCAACUCCCAAGUUUGGAAACCUGGAGAGCAGAGCAAGAUCUUCUGGCCAUGUAAAUGCUCUGUCCAUGGGGCUAUUUUUGGAUCUCAUGUUUAGCACUGAAAGCCCUCAAAGCCUUGAAGCCAGGAUUUUACCCAGAUGGGGAAGAAGAAAAGAUUUGAACUAAUAAUUUAACUGUUAAAGGAAGGUGUUUCUGCCCAUGGAAGAGGGGUUGGGACUGGGUGAUCUUUAAGGUCCCUUCUAACCCAAACAAAUGAUUCUAUGAUUCUAUGAAAUAUUUAAGUGGCUGGACACUGUAGAGCUUGAAUUGUGACUGUAGCUCUCCACCUCCCUUAAAAUGUGCUUUCUACUCUGCUUCCAUGGAGAAGAUUUCUGCAAAGUGUCGAAGUAACUUCUAAGCACCGAUCUCAAACCAAGAAAACCUGCUAGGAUGCGGCAAAUAUCAUUUUUUCUUUUCAUAUACAAAGUUGCCAUGAAAAGAAGAGUUAGGAGCCCACACUUACAAGAACACAUACUAGCUUCCAGUCAUGGGUGCUUACUUUGAGAUAGAAAAUAUCGGUUUUCACCAGUUAGCACUUCCAUCCUCAUCCAUGUGAUUAGAAGGCACUCAGGACCUCAGUACACACAACCAUCUCAGAACAGUGGUAAUUCAAAGAAGGAGUUGCACCGCCAAAAUAAAUGCAUAACUGCCUUUUUAAGUCAAGUGUUACUAGAGAAAAAUAAACAAACAAGCAAAAGCAGCUCCCCCGGGUUCUCAUGACUUAGAGGAACCAGUAAACAUGUAAAAAGAAAUUGCAGCGAUGACUUCCAACUCUUUCUUAGUGUGUUUCAGUUUUUCUUCCUAUGGAACAAGAACCGUACUAUUUCCAAGAGUGUUAAGCUCCCAGGCACAAUAAAUUAAAACUAGCAAAAGCUGAGGUCCUCAAACACCUCCAUGGCUUUCCCCACCGUACUGUGGGAAUCUCCUCUCACAGCCCAUGUGAAUGCAGCUUGACUCCUUCACCGUUUCUGCCUGCCCCUCUGCAUGUCUCCAUGUGAGAAACCAGUGCUGGUGGAGGAAUCCAGCCUUUCCAUGGGAAGCACCUUUCCAGGCAGCUGCUUCUUAGCAGCAGAGCACAGAAGCAACAAUAGGUUCGGAGCUGGAAGAGGUGUGAAACAUAAGUCGUUGAUACAUGGUGGGAAUUAUCAGGGUUGUUGUGUUCAUCAGUGGAUCCAAAAUAAACAGGGUGCAUUUUCUGUUACUUGCUUUUUCUGUUUCCCUGACACGUGGAACUGUUUAAGAUCAGCUGCUGAGGGCUUGCGGUGGUAAAAGUGUAGAGGUAGGAACUUCUGUGAUGGUGUCAGGAAAUGAGAUGCAUGUUUUCAUCUUUGUUGAGAGGUUAACUACUUCUCUCAGAGACAGCCUAACACAUACCUGGUGCUGGGAUCAGGGCUGGGGCAGCUGAGCAUGCACCCUUGUUGAGAUUUACCCAGAUUAUUCCCCCAGUGCACCAGCUGCCUUGGAUAUUUAGCUUGCAAGAGCUGACUCGAGCUUUUGGAUCCUAGGCAGAAAAUUUAGGCAUGUAAGUCCAAAAUCAUGUUCCUGAAAACUCCUGUGUAGGAGGCAGCUGCCGCCUGGAAUCUCAACUUCAUAAGACUUUAAACUCCCCUGGUGCCAUCCCCCUUAGCUCUGCUGUCCAUACCAGCCAGCCCUGGGGACUGUGCUGUGCGUGCCCAGGAAGAACUCACUCUCUCAGCAGGCACUGAAAUCAAACGUCCAACUGUGUUCAGACUUGAAUUGUUCCCCUACUUUGUGCUCUGGAAGUUCCUGCUGGUAGCAUCUUCCUAGAAAGGGCUCAUCACAAGGGCAGUAAAAGAAAGCAAAAGUGCCCAUCUUAACCCAGCAGUGAGGUAGCCACAACAUGCUCCCAGGAUGUGGGAGACCCACCUUCAAUUUUCUUCCCUUAAGAGGUUUCAAAGCCACAUCCUAAACCAGAAGGCCAGAGACUGUUCUCUAGCAAAGAUGUUCCCACCCUUCCUGCUGCAGGUUUUCUCUGCUGAGGAGCCUGCAAUGUGUUGGCUUCACACCUCUCUGGGUGUGCUCCUGGGGCUAGAAGAGAGCUGCACCAGUUCACCAGACCUGGAAGAGCCCAGCAGGCAGUGAGAAGUGUACAGGUACAGGAUUGUUGUGUCAAAUAAGUCCUGUGGUGGCUUUAGCUGUGAAUAAACAACAUCCUUUUAUCAGUUCUACUGGAACUGCCAAGCCAAAUGUCACCCUAAGUGACAAUCAGUCAAUGUGCUUGAUAGCCACCGUCCCUCCUGGCCAGAGGAAACUCCAAGACUGGCUAGGGCUGUGUUUUUGCAGCAGGACUGGAACCAAAAAGAGCUCGCUUCCAGCCAUAGGACCUCCCUGCAACAGAUGCAACAGAAGCCAACCUGUGCCUGUCCUCAGCCAGCCGGUUCAGCAGUCAAGGCAUUACUUUUAGCUCCUACUCUGUCACAGCUCAAGUGCCUGACUGUUUGCUCAGGCUCACAUCUGCCUCUGCUGCCUUGCCUGGGGGCAGUAAUUCAUAACAGGGGCAGGUAGAGCAACAGGACAGUCCGUGCUAAAAUCCCCAUGACAGAUGGACCCACUGGGGCUGAUGAGCCAAGCUUAACUCUGGCUCGCUAAAACACACCGCGUGUCUGCCGUGCUAUAGGAGCGGGGAUUGACCUGUUCUUUGCACAGGAACGGAAGCCAAUUCCUCCAACUUUUUUUUUUUGUAGAUUUCUUGGCAUUUAUCUUGCAGACCCAGUUUUUUUGAGUCCAAGGGUUAUGUGGGGAUAUUAACUGUCAUUCACAAAAUUACAUACAAGUGGAUUGCUUGUCCUAAUAGUUAAGCAGAAAAUCUUGAAGACAAAGACAUUUUAAAUUGAAACCAGCUUGAAUGCUGGAAACAUUGAAGCUUUCCAGCCUUCAGACAGCUGCCUGCACCUUCUUUCCCUGAACUUCUGUCUCCUGGCCAGCCCAUGGGCUUCUGCACUCCUCCUCCCAGAUGUGCAGCUCUUCCAGAGGCACAGCUCACUCCCAUUGUUUGCCUUUUCCUCCCACGGUCAGCAAAACAGCAGCAUUUGGGCACGUGGUAGGUGAGUCCUCCAGCUAAGCCACUCUCCACAACCACGUCCUAACAUCUGCUGGCCCAGGCAAGAUCUGUGGGCUUGGAAAAGAAGGAAAUGCAGCUCCAGAAGAUGGAGUGAUGAUUGCUAGCAGGACAAGACACUAUAGGAGUUUUGCUCCGCAUCAGUAAUUCUGUCUUGGUCACUUGAAGAGCUCAAUUAUGUUACAUAAUUUCUCCCUGUAAUUUUUAAGAAGAGAUGCUUCUACAGGGGGCCAAAAGUUCCUUACUUAAGCAGAUACAUCAUAAAGUUAUUUAUAUAUAUGUCUGUGUGUGUGUGUGUGUGUGUGUGUAUGUUUAUGCAUAUAAAUCAUUAUAAGUGUAUCAUCUAGAACAUGUGAAGAACUGGAAUGCUUUUGAUUCCCUGUGACCUAAAACAUAAGCGAAUCCUUGCAAGAAGAGGUUAGCUACACAGUUUAUUUAUUUCUGUCCUGUGUAUACUGUACCCAGUCUAGGAGUGAGGAAACAGCCAAGGGAACUCGGCGUCACGACAGUUAAGCAUCUGUCCUUACCAUCACCACUGCUGAAGCGUGACGCAGCAGGCACAGCACCUUCCUCCUGCUACUGGUGACCAGCUGGCCAGGAGUGUGGUCAAAAAUCCACAGCAAUUGUUGAUAUUGUCUUAAUACUCAACAUUUUUGUCAUGUUGUCCUAGAGCUAUGGGUUCAUCCACCCCCUGCACGCCCAGCUAGGAGGGAAUCACUGGUAAAAUAAACCUCUUAUGUGAUUAAAUAA